RNAcentral lists this ribosomal RNA (459 nucleotides) under uncultured bacterium. RNAcentral describes it as "partial 16S ribosomal RNA". It matches the Rfam family "Bacterial small subunit ribosomal RNA", at positions 338 to 795 of the family's 1533-position model. The record is from RNAcentral.
CCUACGGGUGGCAGCAGUGAGGAAUAUUGGUCAAUGGGCGGAAGCCUGAACCAGCCAAGUAGCGUGCAGGAUGACGGCCCUACGGGUUGUAAACUGCUUUUAUACGGGAAUAACGCGCCUUACGUGUAGGGCUUUGCAUGUACCGUCUGAAUAAGGAACGGCUAAUUCCGUUCCAGCAGCCGCGGUAAUACGGAAGGUCCGAGCGUUAUCCGGAUUCCUUGGGCUUAAGGGGAGCGUAGGCGGGUGUUCAAGUCAGCUAUAAAAGCUCGCGGCUCAACCGCGACCCGCAGUUGAAACUGGACGCCUUGAGAUCACAACAGGCAGGCGGAAUUCGUGGUGUAGCGGUGAAAUGCAUAGAUAUCACGAGGAACCCCGAUUGCGAAGGCAGCCUGCCGGGGUGCGACUGACGCUGAGGCUCGAAGGUGCGGGUAUCAAACAGGAUUAGAUACCCCUGUAGUC